Molecule: ribosomal RNA, 253 nt
Filed under: uncultured bacterium
Lineage: Bacteria
Description: partial 16S ribosomal RNA
Rfam family: Bacterial small subunit ribosomal RNA
Source: RNAcentral
UACGGAGGGUGCAAGCGUUGCUCGGAAUUAUUGGGCGUAAAGGGUAGGUAGGUGGUCUUAUUUGUCUGGGGUGAAAGCCUUGAGCUUAACUCAAGAAGUGCCCCAGAAACGGUAAGACUAGAGUCCUGGAGAGGGUCGUGGAAUUCCCGGUGUAGCGGUGAAAUGCGUAGAGAUCGGGAGGAACACCGGUGGCGAAGGCGCACAUCUGGCCCGAUACUGACGCUGAGGCGCGAAAGCUAGGGGAGCAAACGGG